This is a non-coding RNA of Carica papaya (papaya), 619 nucleotides long. The record is from RefSeq and is a predicted model, not a curated record. Lineage: Eukaryota; Viridiplantae; Streptophyta; Magnoliopsida; Brassicales; Caricaceae.
AGCAAAAAUUUAAAAGUUCGCUUCUCUUCAACGAAAGCUUUGAAGCUUUUCGCGUCAUCAGGACAGCUCCAACGAUGCUCCUCAAAGACAUCCAUCUGCUGCCAAUUACGGGUUAGGAGAUUAUAAUACUGAGUGAUGCUCAACUCACCUUGCCGAAGAUCAUGGAGUGUCGAUUCGAUUUCGAAAAUAGCCGAGUUGUUCUCCUUGUUGGAGUAGAAUUCCUGAGCUGCCUUCCAGAUUUCGUAGGUAGUUUCGUAGAGAAGGAAAUUAUCUUUGAGUUCAGGAGUCAUCGAGAUGAUAAGUUAGGACAUGACCAUGCUGUCUUCAAUCUCCCAAACUUGCGCAUUUGAGUCGGGCACUGGAGGAGGCACGAGCUCGCCAAUGAGGUACCUAUAAUGCCAUUUUCCGCAGAUGAAUAAGUGGACAGACAACGACCAUUGAAGGAACUAGAGGAAACCUCUAGUGGAGAAGACAGAAGCUUACCCGUGGCCAUUGGAGAUGUUGGCUCAGCAGGGAUCUCUUUUCUUUUGGAUCAGGCACGGUUAUUGACUGGAGCCACAAUUGGCCUAGUUAUAGCUGGAGGAGCUUAUGUGAGUACUGUAGAUGAAGCAACUUUCUG